RNAcentral lists this transfer RNA (57 nucleotides) under Onchocerca volvulus. RNAcentral's name for it is "tRNA OVOC13515". Lineage: Eukaryota; Metazoa; Nematoda; Chromadorea; Rhabditida; Onchocercidae. The record is from RNAcentral.
GUAAUAUUAGUAUAAUUUUAUUAUUUUUAAUUUUCGAUUAAAAGAUUUUUUAUUAUU